Molecule: long non-coding RNA, 902 nt
Organism: Zalophus californianus (California sea lion)
Lineage: Eukaryota; Metazoa; Chordata; Mammalia; Carnivora; Otariidae
Exons: 3
Source: RefSeq, a predicted model, not a curated record
GAUGCCCAAGCACAAGUGGCUGAGUUCCGAGUGACUUUAGGAAGCGCUUUCCUGCCUCCCUCCUUCAGGAAAACGGGGGAUUCUGCACCUGUACCAGGGACAGUCUGGCAAAAGCCUGCUCUGCCUCCGGGGACAAGGAAAUAGCACCAAUAACCAUUUUGAAAUUGGAUCUUGGCAAAAUUUGCAACGAAUCCAUAAAGGAAACUGAAAGCAGUUUGAUCUUCAUCUUCAAUGACAGUCCCACAAAAGUUGAAGAACCACGUUAUGUCUCCAAAGAAGAUUACAGUGGUGCCCUAAAAUUAGGACAUGAUUAAGGGGUUUGGGUAAUAUGCCAGUGAUGUACUUUUCAUUGUCAAGGAAUCCAUCUACACAAAAGAGGCACGGGUGCAGCAUCGAGCAGGUGGGGACUUCUGUCAUCUGACAUACGUAUUGAGCUCUGGGGGAGAGAACAAGAAGAAUGCAUAGGACACUGCUCUCAGGGAGGUUACACUUUAGAGUCUGUACUAAUACUGUGCCACCGAUGGGCAACAACAAAAGCUAGGCAAAGACUUUUUAACAGAAACCUCUCCAUUCAUCCCCUCACUGGGACAGGCAACAAAAGAAGCCUCCGUUUCUGAAAUAUUUAGAAGAACAGCAUUAAUGAAGAGUUCAGUUACAAGCUUUGGUUGUGAUUUUGUUUGCUUGUUGAUGGGUGUUUUGCAGAAAAGCCUGAUGCGCUUGAAUUGUCCUUUGAGCAUGAUCUGCUCUAGAAAUAGUGCUGAAUAAGCUUUUUCCUUUUUCUUUCAUUUUUUAAAUAACUUAAUUUUCUAAAAAAAACCUGUCAGUCAGAAAGUUGACUUUUAGAAUUUUGUUAUGUCAUGAUAGAACAAAAUGUAUCAAGGAAGAAAAAAAUAAAUACUAUU